RNAcentral lists this ribosomal RNA (400 nucleotides) under Carnobacterium sp. AZTITEMP61. Its description in RNAcentral is "bacterial SSU rRNA". It matches the Rfam family "Bacterial small subunit ribosomal RNA", at positions 934 to 1335 of the family's 1533-position model. Lineage: Bacteria; Bacillati; Bacillota; Bacilli; Lactobacillales; Carnobacteriaceae. The record is from RNAcentral.
GGAGCAUGUGGUUUAAUUCGAAGCAACGCGAAGAACCUUACCAGGUCUUGACAUCCUUUGACCACUCGAGAGAUCGAGCUUUCCCUUCGGGGACAAAGUGACAGGUGGUGCAUGGUUGUCGUCAGCUCGUGUCGUGAGAUGUUGGGUUAAGUCCCGCAACGAGCGCAACCCUUAUUACUAGUUGCCAGCAUUCAGUUGGGCACUCUAGUGAGACUGCCGGUGACAAACCGGAGGAAGGUGGGGAUGACGUCAAAUCAUCAUGCCCCUUAUGACCUGGGCUACACACGUGCUACAAUGGAUGGUACAACGAGUCGCGAAGUCGUGAGGCCAAGCUAAUCUCUUAAAGCCAUUCUCAGUUCGGAUUGUAGGCUGCAACUCGCCUACANGAAGCCGGAANCGC